GAGGAGGAGGGUGUGAAGCUGAGUGUGGCAAGGCUGCGCCCUGCUUGGAGGACGUGGUGUGCUGGCCCUGCCACCACCCGCUUGGCUACCACAUGCCUGGCCUGGCGGCCAUUUUGUCCCUGGCCGGCCAUGACAGCUCCCACUCUCUCUGCUCUCUGCUUGCCUCUGAGGUGUGCCUGGAGGGCAGACGCUGUGUCCUUCUUGCUGCUGUGGCUGGAAGCCUGGGUCCGGCCUCCCUGGUGGAACAUAGUCUUGGUCACUGUGACCUCAUAACAUGGCCAGACUCCCUGCCUAUGGCACCAGGCUUAUUCUUGACAUUUGUGUCCUGCGGUUCUUGUUGAGGCAUAGGGGACACAGUGCCUGGGUCUUGAGAAAGAUGCUUCCUACAUGGAGCACCUGCUGCCUCUGCUGGUAUCUGGUAGCUACAGUGACAUGUGUGCUGAGUUGAAGGGGAACAGAGCAUGAUGGAAACCAGCAGCCCUUUCCUGAAUGUUCACUGUGUGUCAUGGAGCAUGCUAAGCACUUUGUGGGUCUUAUCUCACUUCAUUCUCAUGUAGUGAUGGGCCGAGGUCAGAAAUGUGGUUCUGUGGAGGAAGAAAGUCAAAUGAGGUGGAAUCAAUUACCUGCCACAAGCCCCCAGCUGAGGGGAGUGUUUCUGACUCCUGAGGCCCCACUGUCCAUCCCAGUGCACUUCCUUCUUGUGACAUAGGUGCCCAGAAAGCAGGGUUUAACCUGGGUUUCGUUACUGAACUCACUCAGCUCAUCGACUGAGCCACAUUGGCUGGGUCACCUAGCUUUUCUCAUUUGUUCAUCUAUAAAAUGAGAGUACUUGUGUAUAUUUAACAAGGCUUCUGCAAGGGGUGACGUAAGGUAAUUUGUUACAAAAGUGCUUUGUAAACUAGAAAGGGCUACACAGCCAUUGCAUCUCAUUUAAAUGAGUCAGUAGUAAAAACUUACUUAAAAAUACGUGCCGAGAAAGGUCCCUGUGCUUUGGGCUUUUGGGGAAGGAAAUAUGUCUAGUUCCUGCUUCUUGUCGGGAUUCUUGGAUAUGAAGAUGGGGCCUGGGUCCUCAGUAAGGGAACGAUGUCCUGCAUGGUGCUGUGGGUAAGCGCCUGGGCUUGGAGCCCGGCUCCCAGCUGUGGCUCCUUGGACAGGUUCCUCCAGUCCCCGCCAUGAUGGCACCAGCUCCGUGGUGUAGGGAGGGGCCUUGCACAGGCUUGCAGGACGAAGGUUGAAGUCUGUGUUUGUGAUGAGGAUAUUGCUAUUUGGGAAAAUAAAAUAGCAAAGUGAUACUCGUUGGGGACUUAGCUUUAUUUGAAGGCUUUCCUGGGGCACGAGGAUAACAUUUGUGCCUGGGGGAGCUGAGGGCUGACAUUCUAGGGUGGCCUUGGGGGAAAGUCAGACCCCAGGGAAGGAUACAAAUCUCGUAGGUAGGCCUCCUGCAGGCCCCAGGAGGUGCCUAUGUUCUGCAGGUCAGCUGGCCAGAACCUCUCCUGGCCUCAAGCAGGUUACAGAUCACAGAGAGGAUCAGUGAAGCUUGUGGUUUUCAUCUUGGUGGAGAGCAAAGUUUGAUCAGAAAGAGUUCCUGACAUUUGUUAACAUGUUGCUUGGUUCUGUAUGAGAAAGACAAGGCAAAUGGGAGGAGUCCAAUGUCAGGGUGGGGGUAGGAAGGAGGGUGCGUGUGUCUGGGAGGGGGCUCUCUGGGAUGCAUUUCUCCUACCGAGAGCUCUAGAGUAGUGGAAGGGGAUGAAGCAGUCACCUGGGACCUUGGCGUUCUGUGACCCUGACAGCGGUGUUCAGAAAUAGGCCCUGUGGGCGGCAUCCUACGUUCCUAUCCCCACAUUCGUUGGUCUGUGUGUCAGCGAUGGCUGCCGGACUUGAUUGCUCGAUGUGGUUGGUGGCACAGAGGCCAUAAGAUGCUGCCCAGGCCUCUGAGAAGCUUCCUAGCAGUGAGGCUGUUUUAUAACUGUUCUCAAAUCAUGUCAGCUCCAGAAGCUAUUUUAGGAAUGCCUUUGGUUAUGAACCAUAUCUUACGUUUAAUUUUGAUUCUCUUUUCCCUCAUGUCCUGGAUUCUGUAGCGACAUCCACAAACAGUGUGCCUGGCAUGGUUGUAGGUAUUGGAAAUACUUAGUAAAAUUGGGAGAUACUGGUCAGAGCUCAUUAAUUCACUAUACCAGGCACCUAGAAUGUCUCUGAAGGGCUUUAGGCCUCCUGUCCACGAGUCGGAGGACCCUAAGAUUCUGUCUGGAGUGAGCUGUCGAAGUGGAGGGAUUUGCUGUCUCCCUGUGGGCCUGUGUGUGCUCCUGACAGCAGUGAGGGCUGCAGCCCCGCUGGGAGGCCCUGAAGGCACGUACGCCUCGUCCCUCCUCCCACGUCUAGUGCCCGAGAGAUGCCUCCCCUUCCUCCUCUUCUGCUACGAUACAGGUGGGGAAGGACAGUUGUGUUCUUAACCAAACCUAUAGUUUGUAGCCAGAGGAGCUGGUGGUCUUUGAUUUGCUGGGAAAGUGUGAGAUGCUUAUGGGGGGAGUUAACUGAUUUCUGUCUCCUUUUGUAGCUCACUUGAGGCCACAGGGAAAAGCACCUGGUGGAAAAACCUUCCAGGGCUCCUAGUUUUAGCUCCAUAGUAAGCUGCCUCAGUGCUCUCCAGCCAAAGGGAGAGAAGAGUGCUGUGUUCAUGGCACCAUAGAUUACUUUGAAACUGCUGGGGGACCCUUUCUAGAAGCUGGAGUUGGGAGAGUGAACAUGUGUUUGAUAAGUCCAGAUCAAAGGAAGGAGAAAGUAACAGAAACCUCAGAGAGGUGCAGUGUGGGCGGUGAAGGGGCUUGGAUCAAGUAAGCCUGUUUCUAGUGUUUGCCUGGGACUUGGGGAGGCCUCAUCCAACCAGUCAACACGAACAAUUCAAUACUGCUCACAGCACAGUUUUCAGAGGAGUGAAAAAGCAUUCUAAAGCUUGACCGGGGUCCUUGAAAAGUUCAGACCCUCGGUGGACAGAUCAGAUGCGCCCCAUGGGACACAAUCUGUGACAGCAUAUUAGCAAGCCCUGGUCAUACUGGGGUUCCAUGUGUUGUUGGCAUUUGGACACAGAAGCUUAGUCAUUGCAGCACAUGUGGGCCUGCAGGAUUUCCAUCGAUUUUGCCCAGAAAUGAACAGAGAAUACAAGUAGACAUACUGCUUAGCUGAGUAGCGACCAGGGGCCUCAGAUUUUAUUUCAAUGUCAGUGGUGUCCAAGAGCCUUCUCCCUGCUAGGGUUUGGCCAGGUGGAAAGGAUUCAUUCAGUGAACACUUGGAAAAGAAGCAGGUGAGCUUUGGAAUGGAUUCCCAGCUAAGGGAGAGGGAGCAGAAAGAGUAGUGCAGAUGACAUGUAUGAAAUGAUUUAAAGCACUGCGCAUUGAAAGACUUCAACAAAGGCUUUUUGAUAGAUUCUAAGAUCAAGACAGAGAAACUCCUGAAGAAAUUCCAGGAUGCAGUGGGGGUAGAGACCAAGGUGGAUUGGACAGUUCCGGGCAGCUUCAGGGGUGGCCUCUGCACAGGAGUCUGAAAUCCUGUAGUCACAGAGUGGCCCAAGCCACUCUGGAGCAGGGGAAGAGAUCGCUGAGCUAACGCUUGACUAAUUAGAAAAACACAGCAGGAUAGAGGAGGGGUUCUGGCAGGUGAAUAAUACUUACAGGCCUGACAGUGUUUACCCCAGAGUGGGGAGAUUGCUAGGCACAGUGUUGUAUAUUUACAUUUUUUUUGGUCUUUUUCCUUUUUAUCGGUACCGGGGAUCGAACUCACGACUGCCUGCUUGCAAGGCAGGUGCUUAUGCCGCUGAGCUAAACCUCCAGCCCCCAGUGUUGUGUAUUUAAAUGAACAUCCAGGGAAGCAGGUGUCGGGCUUUACUUCUGCGGACUUCAGGGCAACCCUGGGGUUUGUGGUAAGGGAGGCAGGAGUGGAGGUAGAUGUGGUUCAGAGAACUGAGAUGCUUCCCUGCCUUUUGAGCAGGAAAAGGUGUGAAGGAGGGGAGCUGGGUGACACUGUCAGGUAGAGAGCCCCUGCUGUGGGUCUCAUGUUGUUUGUGUAAGCGAAUGACCAUUCUGUAGGGCUGCUCAUGAUGAAAACACUAGUGAUGAUCACCACUUGCUGACUUCUUGGUGGGUACCAGGCUCAGUUACUAAAUGUUUUGCUCAUGUGCAUUUGUGUCAUUUACUCAGCCAUACUAUGGAGAGAAGCAAUGCGUUGAUCAGCCCUACUUUAUACAUGAGAAAAUUUAGGCCAAGGUGAGGAGACCCACCCAGAUCCUGCCGUGUGGACUUGAGCCCAAGGCCCACUCUUGGUCUUGGUGCAUGGUAAAUCUAGAUGGCGUCAGUAACCUUGCAGCCCCAGUGUACUAAGGUGUUCUUUUGGCUAUUGUCCCAGCCCACUUGAAUGUGGACAGAGGCCCUGUGUCAUUUAGGGUAGGAAAGGUGGUGGUUGUGUUGGGUGCCCUUGCUGUCCACAGGGUUAGGGGGAGACUCAGGAAUAGGCCUGUCCCACUGGCUGGCAGGCUGGAGCCUCUCUGAGAGUGUGCUGGGGAACACUGGGCUUGUCUUGGACUCUCAGCUGCUCAUAGAGGCCUCUGUUCUCCAGCCCUCUGGUGACACACAGCUUUUGGAGGGUCCAUUGGGGCUUCUGCCGUGUCUGCUUUCUAGAAACUUGCACUCAUACCCGCAGGACACUCGCCUUGCAGGAACCUCCCUGGGAAAGCACGGGCCUGUUGGUGAAGGUGCCAUUGCUUCCACUGGAGGCUGUGGGUGUGGCCUGCGAAGCCUAUAAGGCCAGAGCAUUAUGGAAACAAAAGCUGAACUCAGAGUGGUUUGGGAAUCCCCGUCCCGCUUGCGUUUGAGAUUUGAGCUGUCUCGAUCUGACUCAGUCAGGUGAAGUGGUAGUUUGUGCUGAGGUGGGAGAGACUCCAUUUUUAAGUCAUGGGCUCAGAUGGUGUGGUCAUGCAGAGGUCAACACAGUCUCAGGAGUCAUUGGUGUGUAGGUGCUACAUGCCCCGGAGACCUCUGUCCAUGAGAGCAUCAGGACUGUCCAUGGGUUCAGGCCUGGGCUUGGAGGCCAUGUGGCCAGGACUCCUGUGCCCCUGCCUAUGUCUAACCUGUGGCACAAGUAUUGGUGUUGCUGUUGAGGAACAAGAUACGGAGGUCUCUGUUCUGACUUACGUGGCGCAGCCCGACUCCAUCUCUUGAAAUAAUUUCCCUCAGAUGACGGCCAAGAUUUUGAGAGCACUCAGUCGAGAGGCACGUUGGGUUUUCCCCCACAUCCCAGGAAGACUUGGUAUCCUUGCAUUUGGGUUGGUACUGGACGCCCCCUGGACCAGGGGCUCUGGCUGGUGACUAGAAGAGUGGUCUGGUGAGAAGAGCAGGUAGCAGUUCCAUUGCCAGGAAGGGUUUUGCCUUAGGCCAAGCUGUGAGCCUGCUGGGCUAGGAGCUUACAUUUAAUGAUUGGUGGCCUAGGAAAAGACUGACAUUUUGGCUUCUUUUACUUUCCCAGGAGUGAUAGGGUCAGCCUGGUCUGGAUACUUUGGAGCCCGAAUUUUUGGCUCAAGAGGCAGGCUGACUCCAUGUCCAGGAGAAGGUGUUGACUUGUGACUGGACAUACUGACCAGUGUCAUCAUCCCAGGCCAGCCAUCCCCUGAAUGUUCCCUGUCAUGGUAUUGCCCGUAGGUUUAUUCUGUGAGGGACUCUUGGUGGUAGAGGAGUCUCCUCCAUGAGGACCGGGAAGUCAGGGCCUGAAUGGCCUUCACUCGUCCUGGAUCACCCUGAAGUCCUGUGUUCUCAGGGCUGGUGGUUGUCGCCUGGCUCCAGCUCCCUGUCUGUGGUGGCUUUUUGUGUUGGCAUUGCUGUCUCAGCUCUGCCAGGACCUACCCUCCAGCACAUCCUGUCCUAGCCCUUGUCUCUGGGAUUUUCACUUGGCAUCUGGCACUGCACUGUGUCCUUGUGGUGCUUGUCGUCACUGCGGGGCCUUGUUUCACUUCAGCUCUGUGACCUACGUGUAAGUCCCGUCAUCCGCUGGGGUGGGGAUUUGAUGGGGAAAUCUCCACAGUGGCCCUAGGACACUUCCUCUGAGGCAGAAGUCUGACCGGAGCAUGGUCGGCACUACUGGGGGCCCUGAUGAGGAACUGUUUGUCUGUGAACUCCACCAUCUGACCUUUAAAUCACAAGGGCCUUUUUUUUUUUUUUGCGGGACCCCCUUCCCCAACUCACCAAGCCUGUUUUCAUUCUUUCAGUGAUUGUGUACAUUUAUAAAGUCUUGGUUUUUGUUUCUUUUUGAAGUUCCCCAAAGUUUCCCAAGAUCAGAAAUUUUUUUCCUACCAAGUAUUGAACUGUCGCAGGAAGUUGGCCUCUCACCUGCUCCGCAGUGUGCUGGGUUAGCACUCCACCACUGAGUCACAUUCCCAGCCCACAACUUGGCUUUCACUUGCUUUCCUUAUUCCCUUGCCUUCUGUGCCUUUGACUUAUGACCUGAGCAUACUUGAUCUUGUCUACUUCUUUAAGAAGCUAGGCUUGGUUGCAUCUGAGUAGUGCUCACAUGGAAGUCCUGGUGUUAACAGGCCUUUUCUUAUGCCAGGUAAUCACGGUCAGUGUUACCAUCAUCAAAAUGAUAACUGGGCUUCACUGAGCAUUUCCUUUGUAUUGGGCUCAAUGCUAAUGUUCUGUGUCUCUCACAAUAAGGCCUCCAAGAAAACCCCUGUGAGGGGUUGAAUAAAGCUGAAGUUAGAAACUUAGGAAGGUUAAGAAUGUUCAAAUUUAUAUAAAGAGUAAAGAGGCUGCAUAAGAAUUCAGAUUGAAGUUUGUCUCAUUUGGGAGUUUUUAACUACUUAUGUACUAUCCUUGUUUAGUAGUGUAUAGCUGAAGUCUGGCUGGCCUCUAUAGCAUCACUAGUGAUGAUAGAACCCAACAUUUCUUGAAUGCUGAAGAGAGCUAAGCUCUGUGAAGAGUGACAUAUAUCAGCCUAUUUAAUCACCACAGCCCAAUGAGAUAGAUUACCCCUGCUUGGCUGAUUAGGAAACUGAGGGUCAGAAAGGCCAAGGUAAUUGACUAUAGGUUGUAUAGUUAAAUAGUGUGAGCCAGGGAAUUUGAGCUGUAUGAGCAUGUCCUCUUAAUUCCUUAUAGUUAUGGCUUAUAAAUACACUUUUUUUACCCCAUGUUUUCCUUCCUUAGCUCAGUUUGCUGUUCUUUGUCUGUUCUUCCUCAUCUUUUCUUCCUGAGAAACCCAGGCUAGGACCCCUUCACAAACUAUGCCUGUCAAUGUGGAGCUUACUCCAAACCACUGACUCUUUAAUUUAUAUUUUCAUAAUCUUAAAGGUGAGUCAUUCUAUUGCAGUGUAAGUCUAUUUUCUCUUUCUUAUUUCUGACCAAAGGAAAGGAACAGGAAGCCCAGACCUGUAGAUAUAUCAGGACACCUGACGUAGGACACAGGACUGCUGAGCCGAGGGGAAGGGAGGCUGGUUUAAUACGCAGUUCUGACUCUAGUGGAAUAUCCACAAGGGAAUAAAUAAGUCUUGACCAUAUAUAAAAAUAAAUUCCAGCAAGAUCCUCAAUCUAACCAUGAAAAUUAAAAUAAGGCUUCAUAUACAAUAUGGCAGUAUCUUACAACCCCGCGAUAGCCACACAUUACUUAUAGGAGACGCAGAAAACACUCACUGUAAAGGGAAGACUGAUAAAUUGAAUGACAUUAAAAGCUGGAACUUCUGAUCACGAAGACACCAGUAAAAGUGAAAGCAAGCAGUGGUGAGAGAAUACAUGCAGUACCUCUGAUUGACUCAUAUUCAGAAUAGGGAAAAUAACUCUUAACAAGCCCAUGAGAAAAAAGAGCCCCUCCUUCUGGGGAAAUUGAGAGUCCUAUCUUGUACCAGCUCCAGGUUUUGAUCAAGGUGUCCUCAUCAGUGACACAGCCUGGUUCUGCCCCCGGGAAGGGGCUAAGCCAUGGGUCUCCUGUUGCUUUGGUGGACAGUGGGCCUUCAUUUCCCACGAGCUGCUUCGCCUCACUGCAUAUGAUGUCCCAAGGACCUCCCUUCUCAUGAACGUUCAUGCCUCUUCCUCUUUUCCUUUGGCUUGCUAACUUUUGAUCCGCUAUUUUGAGAAUAUUGCUCUCCGGCUUCUUUUUUCCCCUUCCUUUUUCAUUUCCCUUUUUGUACCGUCUUGUUGAACCUAGAAACUUUCGGUUAUAAAAACUCUGAAAUUUAAUCUCUGUCUUUAGGGAAGUAGGUUGUGCCAUGGGCCUCCAAGGCUGGGCAGUGACCUGAAAGUUAGUGCCUCUCUCCAGAACUGUCAUCUUGGUUGUGCUCAAGCGGCUGAACCCUCCAAAGUUGUCUGCACUGUCCUAGGUGAUAAAGAAAAAUGCCAUCUUGCUGUGGAUGUAGACGUGCCACUUCCACCUGAGACUGAACUGCUCCCUGGUUUAUCUGGAGCACUCGGGUAGCUCCAGAUAUCUGCACAGAGUAUGAAACGGUCCCUGCACCACCACCCUGCCCUGAGAGCCUGGAUUCUUUCUCUGUGUGAAGCCCAGUCCCUGUAGAGCCGGCCUCAAUGAGGAAAUGAGAGGACAGAGAGGCUGCAUGAAACCUGCCUUUCUGGCAGAUGCUUGCUGGACAGGAGUUCGUGGCCAGUACAGAGUGCUUGCAUUCCACACCCUGGACGAGGGCGGUCAAAGUUCAACUCAUUGCUUUUAAAGAAAAAAGAAAGAAAGAAGAAAAGAAAGAAAGAACGAGAAAGCAAGCAAGUAGGCUUGUUUUUGGCAUUUGGAAGUUUUGACCCAGAUCACUGGGAGAACUCACAAUGCUCAGGGAGACGUUCAGUGCCUAAGGCCGGUAGCUACAGAGGCACAGUGAGCCUGUGAGCCCUGGGGCUGGAGCUGAAGUCCUGCCUUUUUUGAGUUUGCCCUGGCCUGGCCUUCUCUCUACUUUGGAGUUAUCUUUACCCCCUGAAACCAAACACUGCAUGUGGCACUCUGUAAAACUGCUUCCUUGUCGGCUGGAGCAUGCUUGCUAAGUAAACAUCCUUCCAUGUUUUUGGAUCUGAAUUCAUUUUUGCUUCCUGGUUGUCUCUUUUGAAUUUUUCUUUUCCUGGUGCCCUGCAGAAUCAGGUUAAUAGAUGGAAGACCUAGAAUUGGACAGAGGCGCCUAAAAAUGACUCUUUAAAUACUAGUAAAUUUGUAGGAGGGGUAGCGGGAUUGUGGGAAGAAAAAGAUUGAGACCAAAGGUGAAACGAAACAAAACUUCCCACAGGGUGUCGUCAUAAUGUUCUGCAAGUCACAGUUGGUCCCUGCCGCACUACCCUGAGAGUAGGACUUCUCUCUGUACAGGCUUGAGCCCAAUGCUGCUGGGGGUUAUAGACCACAGUGGCCUCUUGACAAAUUCUGUGGCUGUGAGUGUCCCUCCUCUGACCCUGGGUUGCUCUCAUUCAUCUCUCAUGACUCUUUCGCCUCCUCAAGUCCACCCACCCGUGACAUCUCCAUUGCCAUGGCACUGAGCAGCCACGUCAUUUGCCAAGUUCACGGGGUGAUGGCCCAGCACUGUGGAGCCUGCUUCCCUCUAGUGCUCCCUCCUGAAGGAGGAGGCUCCCUGGCAGAGCUCGGAGCCCUUUGUUUAUUUGAUCCUGGGCUCUUGGAUAAAUCAGGAAUGUCCUGACAUGAACUUAGGCAUGUUUUUCUUCCAUGGAGAAGGAAACUAUGGCAAAUAGGAUUUGAGUAAGCAGAAGACCAUUCUGGGGGACUGGUUUUAGUGCCAUCAGGGCCACAUUCCUUUGGUCAUCAGACCAGUAGGUGACUUCUUUAUUGGCAUGCUCCACCCUAGAACCCAGAAGGUGUGAAUUUAAAGCAUUUUCCCCCCUACUGGGAGCCUGGCACAGAGCCUCUGGGCUUCUUUUAAAACCAUGGACUGCCAUGGUUGUCUUCCAAGUGGUCCUUCGUUCUGCCGGUGAGAACUUGGCCCAGUACAAUUGCUUGACGAAGGCUGCUUGGAAAGCUGAUGUGGGGUGAGAGGGCUGCCUGGCCUCUCACUCAUUUGUGUUCCCAUAAGAUUCUUGAUGUAGUGUGCUUUAUGGAUCCACUGCCCCUGGACACAAAUGUAUCUUCUACGUCUGGUCAGCUCUAGGUUCCUACAGUGCAGCUGGUUGCAUGUGUGCAUCCUUUGCGCAUAGCUGGGUGGGAAUUCGAGAGUUGAGAGGUGUGUCUAGGUCAGGAGAGUUCCUUGGGUUAAUAUCUGAGCCGUUUUCAGAUGUAUUGUCAGUCUGGAGGGUCAGGGAGGUAUUGAGGACCCUGUGCUUUGCUGCACGGAGCCCGUCAGUAUCCACAGCCCACCUUUGUCCAUUUUUGAGGGUCAGUGGAAAUGCUGCCUGCCCAGGAAGGGGGUCAGCACCGAGCCAUGUGGGACGAAGAGCUGGUGAGUGCCCAUCUUAACUGGGUGCCUGUCCUGGAGAGAGGAACCCAGGCACUGGCUGCUUGAGGUCCAAGACUGGCAGUCGCUAUGUUUUGCUGCUUUUCGUGUUGUCAGAAGGCUCUUCUUGGGAACAAAUGACUCAGCAACCUGAAUCUCUGGUCUGUGUGGCCUAAAAGUGCCUUUGGGGAAGUAACUGGAUCUGUCUACCUAAACUCUAAAUUGUGAACCCUGAAAGAAUGGAGAUCCAGAUUGGUUUGACUCUGUUCAAUUUGGUUUUUCAAAUUCCUGCCCUGAUAGAAGGAUCUCACUUUGUAGGGUUUGCAGGCAAUGUUUUAAUUACGCCUUUUAUCCUUAGGAAAUUCCAGGGAGAAAAAGGUCCUGGUUGGUGGCCAAAAAGGCAAAAACAACAGAAAUCAACUCUACAGAAAUCAGCUCUAACUCUAAUUUUGGAUUUGUCUGUGGUAGAAGUUUAAUGGGAUGGUGGUCUCAGGAUAAGGACCAGUUUUUUUCCCUGUGGCUGGGGAAACCCAUGUGGCUUAAGAAAAGAUGAUGCAACAUUUAGCCUGGGACAGCCCUGUCUGGGUUCAGGGGCUACCACUCAGAGAGAAGGAGGCUUGGGACUGGGAAGUCUGAAAAGCACAGUUGAAGCUACAGGGAACAUGGGCCUGUGUGUCCCGUAGCAGUGAGGUGCAAAGAAGAAUGGCCAAGGAAGCAGAGUGUAGGCACAACUUUUUUUCUCUUCUCUUCUUUCUUUCUUUUCUUUUUUUUUUUUUUUUUUUUUUUGUCUUGUUUGACCAGCCUUGGCAGUGCCCUGCAGCUCUCCAGGGGAAAAGCUGCAGUUCUGCUCUUGCAACACAAGGAGCAGACUGGAGAAUUUAGAUCUGCGUCACAGAGCUCAGAGAGAGAGAGAGAGAGAGAGAGAGAGAGAGAGAGAGAGCGCGAGCGCUCGAGCAAGCGAGCUCCGUCGAUAGGUCUGCUAGCAACAGCCGUGCUGCAGCAGAGAGAGAGAGAGAAAUCAAGAACCAAGUCAUAGCAACACCGGGCACUGGGUUCCACGAGCUCACUUGCCAAGCCUUGAGAUCUGCUGGAGCCAGAGGCCUCUGGGGGACAGGAGAUUUGCAUUGACGUCCGGCUGUCCAGAGGUCCUUCAGAGCCAGUCCUGAGCCUAGUCUACCACGGGAAGAAGCGCCUUCCUUUUGGAAGCUGUUGAUGCUGCCUGGUGCAUGGAAAGGUGCCAUUCCACCAGCAGUCCAUGUGGCUCCAUGACCGUGAUGCUGGCAGAUGUGACAGCACCCCAGAUUUGUCAGCGAAUCAUCAGCAGGCUGCUCAGGAAACUGGGGCUGAAGCCCUUCCUCACUUGCCAGGCAACCAUGUGACGCAGGCUUCAUUUCCCUCACGACUGAAGGAACCUUAGUUAAAGAAGUGAUUCAACCAAGGUCACAUUCUUGGGUCCAGUGUCUGCUGUCUGAGGCUGUCUCAGGGGAAGGCGCGCCCCUUUUUCCACAAACAGCACCCCUGCUCACCAAGAUGCGUUCUCCUGGCCACCUGGAACCCUGAACCCUCGUUCCCGGAGGAAAGAAGAUGGACGAUUGGCUCAGCUUCCGGCUCCCUCCCCCACCCUGGCUGGAACUUGCAUCAGUCACGUCUCUAGCAUGCAGCUCAUCCAGGUCCCUGCAUCCUUACUGAUGCUGCUGCCUGCUGUCCCUUGAUCUGGAUGGGCCCUCCAAGUCUCUGCAUGGUGGUGACCAGUCUACCCCAGCCUCCCUUCUGCACCUGGAGAUGGAGGGGCCCAUUAAAGGCAACUCAGGGUGAAGCUGUGGAAUCUUAAGACUGAGGAUCCCAGACUCUGGAACCUAUGCUCAGUUCCCGGGGGCAGUGGCUCCUCACUAGGUACAGCAGCUCUGCUGGAGCCUGGGUAGCACUGUGCCUCCUGGGUAGCAGGAGAAGCAUUCAUUCAGUGCCAAACAGAAGAGCAAACCAGACAGGUGGGUUCUGGGAGGAAGAACGACUCAGCCUGCUGGUAGUGGGUAGGCUUGGGAGGCUGAGACAGGAAGGGUGGCUGGGGUGGCAGCUAGUGGGUGCAGAGAGUCUCUCAGUGCAGGAGGGGCAGCAGGGGCGGGGUGGGGGAGGACCUUCCUGGACUCCUGCAGGACUCCUGCACAGGGACACACGAAGGGUGUUUGUGGGUAGUGAACAGUGGUGAGUAGAGUUGCUAAGGAAAAGAAUUUGGCUAAAAUGAAAAGCAGAGGAGCUGAGAAUUACCCAGUGUAAAUCUCAUCCACCCCUCUCCUUUCAAAAGAUUGGACAUUCGGUGAUCACUGUUACGUAAUGCUUGCUUGUGAUGUUAAAGCCCAUGCUGUCCCCGUUUCCCCAGGCCUCAGGUUGGUUAGAGAUGUCAUUGCUCAGCACCUUGUGUGCAGACUGACUCCAGCUGGCCCCGCUGUGGCCAGUCCUGUGGUGGGCUGCCGUCCCUGCUGCUGAUAUGGAGUUGCCAGGGAGUUCAUUGGCAGCACUUUCUCCAUGCUGAGGGAGGGCUCCAGGGGCAGUAGAAGCCCAGGAGAGCAGAUGUAAACCACCCCGGCCAUCAGCCCCUUCACAGAACCCAAAUCCCAAGCGCACUGCAUUGCAUAAUCAGAAUCAUCCCACUCCCAUGCAGAGAAAUACUGCCUCCCUGCUACCCUCUACCUCCAGGUCUUGCUUAGAGCUAAGUGCGAGAGGAAAAUGAGGUGAAAGUCGGCUAAGGACCUGGCAACAGUGGCAGGAAGGAGGGAACACAGACUUUGGACUUACUCCUGGGACCUGCUUUUAUUAAGCAUGUGACUGUGGACAGGUUUUUGUGUGUGUAUGUGUCCUUAUUAAAGAUCACUUUCAAUUUCUGCAGAAAUUGGUAGAAUACCUUCUUCAUAGAACAGUUGUGAGAAUUAAAUAGCACAGUUCUUGUUCCAUUUUUAUUUCCUCCUUUUCCUAUAGCAACACAUACUUUGAUGGCCAUAAAAGAGCCAUAAAAAAGGCAACCCUGUAUCUAGAGGUCUGAAGCAGGGCUCAGGACUCUAAAACAUUGCAGCUUCUAUUGUUUCCUCUUUCUCUGGGUUGUGACAUCAGAGGAAAAAGACAUUUCUGUAACCUCCUCAAAAGGUGUUGUGAAAGAGGAAAUCAUUGAUACACAGUUUGCAAAUUAUAUUUUCAGGCAAAUGAAAACAAAAAUGUGUGUGUGAGCAGAUUCCCUGCCUAACACACUGAUGCAGAGGGCAGCUUUUUUAAAAAUCACACUACAGGUGUAUUCAGAUACGCAGCUGAAGGGCCACCUCGAGUGCUGUGAGGCUGUGUGUGAUGCAGCCCUCCACAGACAGGCGGGAGCCUACAUCCUUCAGGGCCGGACUCCUGCAUCCGGGUCCUCCUCCCAUGCUGGGAAAUGUUCUGUACAUGUCGCGUGCUAUGAAUGGAAGCAGCAAUGUACUUUAUAAUGGCAUUGAAUCUCAUUUCAUCCCGUGUCAUGCUUUAUAGUGACAGGUUGGGAAACUCAGCAGAGGAGAUGCGUGUUGUGGCAUUCAAGUGUGUGUGAAGUGUCCUCCAUGGCUCUCAGGAGCUGCACUGUGGGGCUGUCCUCUGGGUCUUUCCAGGAGGUCAUUCUGUAAUUCCAUAAGUGGAGCCCCAAGAAGAUAUUUCUCCUUAGGAUGGAGGCCGAGUCUUCGACCGCAGCUCUGCGCUUUCUUCAGUGAGACCCUCUUCUUCUGGAAGCUGGUUUCACAUGGUGGCUUAGAUUUUUCGAUCUUUGUAUCUAGCACCAUUUGAAAUCAGUGUUUUAGGAGUAAGAAUUGCAGCGGCACAAGGGAAGACUGCAAGGACUUGCUUCAAGAAGUCCUUCAGGGAGGGAAGACUGGCAGGGCACGAGGCACUCUUGGAUGUAAAGGGUUUUGGAGCAGUGACCAUGGGAGAGGUUUGUGUUUAAACAAACACAGCGGCCUGAUGGGGCAGAAGUGGUCCCCUCCCCUUCCUGUGACCGGUGGAGGGCAGCGGAGGUGGCACUGUGUUCUGCUGAGUCUGGGGUGCUGUAUCGGGUGUGGUUGUGGUGGGAAGUGGUGAGUGUCGUGUGUCCAGGGCCAUAGCUGCCUGCUCUGGAGGGAGGACGCCGAAGUGUCUGCUGCCUGCUGACGCCUUUCCGCACCGAGGCACAGACGGGAGGACGCCCACCGCUGGCUCAUCUCUUACACAGGCUGACCGAUUUCUCCUGGUGUUCAGAGUCUGUUUUUGUCUAGCACCAUUUGAAAUCGGUUAUGAUGUAGGGGGAAAAGCAGCAGCCACCUCUAAGCUUUGCGCCGCAUCCAAGCAGCUGCACCUGUGGUCUCCUGCAAGGUGGACCAGCAGAGGGUGAGGAAGGACUGAAAUUUCCUCAUGGAGGUCUUUAACUGCCCUUAGGUUAUCGCAGAGGUAAGAGAUAAUUUACUGAGUUAAAAAAACCACAGUAGUUAUAAUUUGAACGAUGUUCUCAGCGGCAUCUUCGGAAAUGUACCAUACUACAGAUGCUGUAAGCUGGUUACCGUUAUCUUUGUUAAGAGUCUGUUCAUGCAUCCUGAUUUUAAUAAACGACGUACUGGAUCCCA
Long non-coding RNA from Cavia porcellus (domestic guinea pig), 15000 nucleotides. RefSeq lists it as uncharacterized. The transcript has 8 exons. The record is from RefSeq and is a predicted model, not a curated record. NCBI's taxonomy places the organism in Eukaryota, Metazoa, Chordata, Mammalia, Rodentia, Caviidae.